RNAcentral lists this ribosomal RNA (498 nucleotides) under uncultured bacterium. Its description in RNAcentral is "bacterial SSU rRNA". It matches the Rfam family "Bacterial small subunit ribosomal RNA", at positions 29 to 521 of the family's 1533-position model. The record is from RNAcentral.
AUUGAACGCUGGCGGCAUGCUUUACACAUGCAAGUCGAACGGUAACAGGCCUUCGGGUGCUGACGAGUGGCGAACGGGUGAGUAAUGCAUCGGAACGUGCCCAAUCGUGGGGGAUAACGUAGCGAAAGUUACGCUAAUACCGCAUAAGCCCUGAGGGGGAAAGCAGGGGAUCGCAAGACCUUGCGCGAAUGGAGCGGCCGAUGUCAGAUUAGCUAGUUGGUGGGGUAAAGGCCUACCAAGGCGACGAUCUGUAGCGGGUCUGAGAGGAUGAUCCGCCACACUGGGACUGAGACACGGCCCAGACUCCUACGGGAGGCAGCAGUGGGGAAUUUUGGACAAUGGGCGCAAGCCUGAUCCAGCCAUGCCGCGUGCGGGACGAAGGCCUUCGGGUUGUAAACCGCUUUCAGCCGGAAAGAAAUACGCCAAGGCUAAUAUACCUUGGUGGAUGACGGUACCGGAAGAAGAAGCACCGGCUAACUACGUGCCAGCAGCCGCGGU